UUGAAUCACUGGGGAUCUUGUUAAAAUUCAGAUUCUUAUUCUGAAGGUUUAAGAUUCUGCAUUUCUAAUAAGCUUUCAGCGAUGCUGAUGCU
RNAcentral lists this microRNA precursor (92 nucleotides) under Ovis aries (sheep). RNAcentral's name for it is "miRNA (ENSOARG00000022442.1)". Lineage: Eukaryota; Metazoa; Chordata; Mammalia; Artiodactyla; Bovidae. The record is from RNAcentral.